GCGAUGAUGCGUAGCCGGACUGAGAGGUUGAACGGCCACAUUGGGACUGAGACACGGCCCAGACUCCUACGGGAGGCAGCAGUAGGGAAUUUUCGGCAAUGGGCGCAAGCCUGACCGAGCAAUGCCGCGUGAGUGAUGACGGUUUUCGGACUGUAAAACUCUGUUGUAAGGGAAGAACGAUCGGAAUAGAAUUUCGAAGUGACGGUACCUUACCAGAAAGCCACGGCUAACUACGUGCCAGCAGCCGCGGUAAUACGUAGGUGGCGAGCGUUAUCCGGAUUUAUUGGGCGUAAAGGGUGCGCAGGCGGCCUGUUAAGUUUAAGGUGAAAGCGUGGGGCUCAACCCCAUAUAGCCUUAGAUACUGGCAGGCUAGAGUACUGGAGAGGAAAGUGGAAUUCCAUGUGUAGCGGUAAAAUGCGUAGAUAUAUGGAGGAACACCGGUGGCGAAGGCGACUUUCUAGACAGUAACUGACGCUCAUGCACGAAAGCGUGGGGAGCAAAUAGGAUUAGAUACCCUAGUAGUCCACGCUGUAAACGAUGAAUGCUAAGUGUUGGGGUAACUCAGUGCUGCAGUUAACGCAAUAAGCAUUCCGCCUGUGGAGUAUGCACGCAAGUGUGAAACAUAAAGGAAUUGACGGGGGCCCGCACAAGCGGUGGAGUAUGUGGUUUAAUUCGACGCAACGCGAAGAACCUUACCAGGCCUUGACAUCCCUUGCAAAACUAUAGAGAUAUAGCGGAGGUUAUCAAGGACACAGGUGGUGCAUGGUUGUCGUCAGCUCGUGUCGUGAGAUGUUGGGUUAAGUCCCGCAACGAGCGCAACCCUUGUCUUCAGUUACCAUCAUUUAGUUGGGGACUCUGAAGAGACUGCCGGUGAUAAACCGGAGGAAGGUGGGGAUGACGUCAAAUCAUCAUGCCCCUUAUGGCCUGGGCUACACACGUACUACAAUGGCGUAUACAACGAGUCGCAACCUGGCGACAGGAAGCAAAUCUCUUAAAGUACGUCUCAGUUCGGAUUGGAGUCUGCAACUCGACUCCAUGAAGUUGGAAUCGCUAGUAAUCGCGGAUCAGCAUGCCGCGGUGAAUACGUUCUCGGGCCUUGUACACACCGCCCGUCAUACCAUGAGAGCUGGUAAUACCCGAAGCCGGUGGCCUAACCGCAAGGAA
Molecule: ribosomal RNA, 1164 nt
Filed under: uncultured bacterium
Lineage: Bacteria
Description: bacterial SSU rRNA
Rfam family: Bacterial small subunit ribosomal RNA
Source: RNAcentral